This 1083-nucleotide ribosomal RNA is filed under the name Candidatus Phytoplasma solani. Its description in RNAcentral is "bacterial SSU rRNA". It matches the Rfam family "Bacterial small subunit ribosomal RNA", at positions 202 to 1281 of the family's 1533-position model. Lineage: Bacteria; Bacillati; Mycoplasmatota; Mollicutes; Acholeplasmatales; Acholeplasmataceae. The record is from RNAcentral.
AAAGACCUAGCAAUAGGUAUGCUUAGGGAAGAGCUUGCGUCACAUUAGUUAGUUGGUGGGUAAUGGCCUACCAAGACGAUGAUGUGUAGCCGGGCUGAGAGGUCGAACGGCCACAUUGGGACUGAGACACGGCCCAAACUCCUACGGGAGGCAGCAGUAAGGAAUUUUCGGCAAUGGAGGAAACUCUGACCGAGCAAUGCCGCGUGAACGAUGAAGUAUUUCGGUACGUAAAGUUCUUUUAUUAGGGAAGAAAAGAUGGUGGAAAAACCAUUAUGACGGUACCUAAUGAAUAAGCCCCGGCUAACUAUGUGCCAGCAGCCGCGGUAAUACAUAGGGGGCAAGCGUUAUCCGGAAUUAUUGGGCGUAAAGGGUGCGUAGGCGGUUAAAUAAGUUUAUGGUCUAAGUGCAACGCUCAACGUUGUGAUGCUAUAAAAACUGUUUAGCUAGAGUUGGAUAGAGGCAAGUGGAAUUCCGUGUGUAGUGGUAAAAUGCGUAAAUAUACGGAGGAACACCAGAAGCGAAGGCGGCUUGCUGGGUCUUAACUGACGCUGAGGCACGAAAGCGUGGGGAGCAAACAGGAUUAGAUACCCUGGUAGUCCACGCCCUAAACGAUGAGUACUAAACGUUGGAUAAAACCAGUGUUGAAGUUAACACAUUAAGUACUCCGCCUGAGUAGUACGUACGCAAGUAUGAAACUUAAAGGAAUUGACGGGACUCCGCACAAGCGGUGGAUCAUGUUGUUUAAUUCGAAGGUACCCGAAAAACCUCACCAGGUCUUGACAUGCUUUUGCAAAGCUGUAGAAAUACAGUGGAGGUUAUCAGAAGCACAGGUGGUGCAUGGUUGUCGUCAGCUCGUGUCGUGAGAUGUUGGGUUAAGUCCCGCAACGAGCGCAACCCUUGUUGUUAAUUGCCAUCAUUAAGUUGGGGACUUUAGCAAGACUGCCAAUGAUAAUUUGGGAGGAAGGUGGGGGACGACGUCAAAUCAUCAUGGCCCUUUAUGACCUGGGGCUACAAACGUGGAUACAAAUGGCUUGUUACAAAGGGUAAGCUUAAACCGUAAGCUUCCUGGCGAAUCUCAAAAAA